GCAACCUGAUUCCACUCAACACCCCACUGCAUGUUGACACUUGACUGCGUCUGGAAACAGCUGAGCAAAGAGCAAACAACAGCCAUCUAUCAGACUUUAGCUACUUAUAGAAGUACAAUCUGAACAUUGACCCGUAGCUUGACAUGGCACUUGAGGAAUAUUCACAAAGAAGCUAGCUAAUACAGUUAAUGCGACGACAAACAACGUAUUUGCAGCUUGGAAGAAACCAGGAAGAUGUUUGAGAAUUUCAAAGAGAGGUUGCAGACSGUGCAGCAAGAUUUCACAACGGGGAUGAAGACUCUGAGUGACAAAUCAAAGGAGGCCAAAGUAAAGCCGAAACCUAGACAUGAACAUCUGACACAGUUUUCUGCUGGAGUAGAACUGCUCAGUCGGUAGGUGUUGCUCUCAUUGGAUACGUCCAAAU
Long non-coding RNA from Salvelinus sp. IW2-2015, 424 nucleotides. RefSeq lists it as uncharacterized. NCBI's taxonomy places the organism in Eukaryota, Metazoa, Chordata, Actinopteri, Salmoniformes, Salmonidae. The record is from RefSeq and is a predicted model, not a curated record.